Molecule: ribosomal RNA, 253 nt
Filed under: uncultured bacterium
Lineage: Bacteria
Description: partial 16S ribosomal RNA
Rfam family: Bacterial small subunit ribosomal RNA
Source: RNAcentral
AACGUAGGAGGCAAGCGUUAUCCGGAUUUACUGGGUGUAAAGCGCGUGCAGGCGGUUUGUCAAGUCGCGUGUGAAAGCGCCCGGCUCAACCGGGCGAGGCCGCGCGAAACUGGGAAACUGGAGGCCGGUAGAGGCGUGUGGAAUUCCGGGUGUAGUGGUGAAAUGCGUAGAGAUCCGGAGGAACACCAGUGGCGAAGGCGACACGCUGGACCGAGCCUGACGCUCAGACGCGACAGCAUGGGGAGCGAACGGG